GUGCUUUCUUCAGUAGCACGUAUACUAAUAUUGGAACGAUACAGAGAAGAUUAGCAUGGCCCCUGUGCAAGGAUGACACGCAAAUUCGUGAAGCAUUCCAUAUUUUU
Small nuclear RNA from Eubalaena glacialis (North Atlantic right whale), 107 nucleotides. The record is from RefSeq and is a predicted model, not a curated record. Lineage: Eukaryota; Metazoa; Chordata; Mammalia; Artiodactyla; Balaenidae.